UAACGCGUGGAGAACCUGCCGUAUACUGGGGGAUAACACUUAGAAAUAGGUGCUAAUACCGCAUAAGCGCACAGCUUCGCAUGAAGCAGUGUGGAAAACAAAAAGCUAAAGCUUUUGGUGGUAUACGAUGGAUCCGCGUCUGAUUAGCUGGUUGGCGGGGUAAAGGCCCACCAAGGCGACGAUCAGUAGCCGGCCUGAGAGGGUGAACGGCCACAUUGGGACUGAGACACGGCCCAAACUCCUACGGAAGGCAGCAG
Molecule: ribosomal RNA, 257 nt
Filed under: uncultured bacterium
Lineage: Bacteria
Description: partial 16S ribosomal RNA
Rfam family: Bacterial small subunit ribosomal RNA
Source: RNAcentral